UGCUUUACACACGCAAGUCGAGCGGCAGCGCGGGGGCAACCCUGGCGGCGAGCGGCGAACGGGUGAGUAAUGUAUCGGAACGUACCCUGUCGUGGGGGAUAACACAGCGAAAGCUGUGCCAAUACCGCAUACGACCUGAGGGUGAAAGCGGGGGAUCGCAAGACCUCGCGCGAUAGGAGCGGCCGAUAUCGGAUUAGCUUGUUGGUGAGGUAAAGGCUCACCAAGGCGACGAUCCGUAGCUGGUCUGAGAGGACGACCAGCCACACUGGAACUGAGACACGGUCCAGACUCCUACGGGAGGCAGCAGUGGGGAAUUUUGGACAAUGGGGGCAACCCUGAUCCAGCCAUUCCGCGUGAGUGAAGAAGGCCUUCGGGUUGUAAAGCUC
This 386-nucleotide ribosomal RNA is filed under the name uncultured organism. RNAcentral's name for it is "bacterial SSU rRNA". It matches the Rfam family "Bacterial small subunit ribosomal RNA", at positions 45 to 433 of the family's 1533-position model. The record is from RNAcentral.